This 1562-nucleotide ribosomal RNA is filed under the name Vibrio natriegens. RNAcentral's name for it is "bacterial SSU rRNA". It matches the Rfam family "Bacterial small subunit ribosomal RNA". Lineage: Bacteria; Pseudomonadati; Pseudomonadota; Gammaproteobacteria; Vibrionales; Vibrionaceae. The record is from RNAcentral.
AAAUUGAAGAGUUUGAUCAUGGCUCAGAUUGAACGCUGGCGGCAGGCCUAACACAUGCAAGUCGAGCGGAAACGAGUUAACUGAACUUUCGGGGGACGUUAACGGCGUCGAGCGGCGGACGGGUGAGUAAUGCCUAGGAAAUUGCCCUGAUGUGGGGGAUAACCAUUGGAAACGAUGGCUAAUACCGCAUGAUGCCUACGGGCCAAAGAGGGGGACCUUCGGGCCUCUCGCGUCAGGAUAUGCCUAGGUGGGAUUAGCUAGUUGGUGAGGUAAGGGCUCACCAAGGCGACGAUCCCUAGCUGGUCUGAGAGGAUGAUCAGCCACACUGGAACUGAGACACGGUCCAGACUCCUACGGGAGGCAGCAGUGGGGAAUAUUGCACAAUGGGCGCAAGCCUGAUGCAGCCAUGCCGCGUGUGUGAAGAAGGCCUUCGGGUUGUAAAGCACUUUCAGUCGUGAGGAAGGUAGUGUAGUUAAUAGCUGCAUUAUUUGACGUUAGCGACAGAAGAAGCACCGGCUAACUCCGUGCCAGCAGCCGCGGUAAUACGGAGGGUGCGAGCGUUAAUCGGAAUUACUGGGCGUAAAGCGCAUGCAGGUGGUUUGUUAAGUCAGAUGUGAAAGCCCGGGGCUCAACCUCGGAAUAGCAUUUGAAACUGGCAGACUAGAGUACUGUAGAGGGGGGUAGAAUUUCAGGUGUAGCGGUGAAAUGCGUAGAGAUCUGAAGGAAUACCGGUGGCGAAGGCGGCCCCCUGGACAGAUACUGACACUCAGAUGCGAAAGCGUGGGGAGCAAACAGGAUUAGAUACCCUGGUAGUCCACGCCGUAAACGAUGUCUACUUGGAGGUUGUGGCCUUGAGCCGUGGCUUUCGGAGCUAACGCGUUAAGUAGACCGCCUGGGGAGUACGGUCGCAAGAUUAAAACUCAAAUGAAUUGACGGGGGCCCGCACAAGCGGUGGAGCAUGUGGUUUAAUUCGAUGCAACGCGAAGAACCUUACCUACUCUUGACAUCCAGAGAACUUUUCAGAGAUGAAUUGGUGCCUUCGGGAACUCUGAGACAGGUGCUGCAUGGCUGUCGUCAGCUCGUGUUGUGAAAUGUUGGGUUAAGUCCCGCAACGAGCGCAACCCUUAUCCUUGUUUGCCAGCGAGUAAUGUCGGGAACUCCAGGGAGACUGCCGGUGAUAAACCGGAGGAAGGUGGGGACGACGUCAAGUCAUCAUGGCCCUUACGAGUAGGGCUACACACGUGCUACAAUGGCGCAUACAGAGGGCGGCCAACUUGCGAAAGUGAGCGAAUCCCAAAAAGUGCGUCGUAGUCCGGAUUGGAGUCUGCAACUCGACUCCAUGAAGUCGGAAUCGCUAGUAAUCGUGGAUCAGAAUGCCACGGUGAAUACGUUCCCGGGCCUUGUACACACCGCCCGUCACACCAUGGGAGUGGGCUGCAAAAGAAGUAGGUAGUUUAACCUUCGGGGGGACGCUUACCACUUUGUGGUUCAUGACUGGGGUGAAGUCGUAACAAGGUAGCGCUAGGGGAACCUGGCGCUGGAUCACCUCCUUAUACGAUGAU